GUGGGGAAUCUUCCGCAAUGGACGAAAGUCUGACGGAGCAACGCCGCGUGAGCGAAGAAGGUCUUCGGAUCGUAAAGCUCUGUCAUUCGGGACGAAGUUGCCUAUUGCGAACAGUGGUAGGCAGUGACGGUACCGAAAGAGGAAGCCACGGCUAACUACGUGCCAGCAGCCGCGGUAAUACGUAGGUGGCGAGCGUUGUCCGGAAUUACUGGGCGUAAAGGGCGCGUAGGCGGGAUAGCAAGUCUGUUGUGAAAUUGCGGGGCUCAACCCCGUAUUGGCAAUGGAAACUGCUAUUCUUGAGUGCAGGAGAGGAAAGCGGAAUUCCCAGUGUAGCGGUGAAAUGCGUAGAUAUUGGGAGGAACACCAGUGGCGAAGGCGGCUUUCUGGCCUGUGUCUGACGCUGAGGCGCGAAAGCCAGGGGAGCGAACGGGAUUAGAAACCCUAGUAGUCC
Molecule: ribosomal RNA, 451 nt
Filed under: uncultured bacterium
Lineage: Bacteria
Description: bacterial SSU rRNA
Rfam family: Bacterial small subunit ribosomal RNA
Source: RNAcentral